This is a non-coding RNA of Lupinus albus (white lupine), 1288 nucleotides long. The record is from the annotation of a GenBank genome assembly. Lineage: Eukaryota; Viridiplantae; Streptophyta; Magnoliopsida; Fabales; Fabaceae.
GCCUGGGAGCCAGCCCGCAGUAGAAAAACCAGCAAAUCGAGUUGCAGAAAGAAGAAUUGGUCUUUCGACAAGUGCUUGCCUUCCUAUCUAUAUAUGUAGUUCUUAUAUAGAUCAGCCCCAAGGUUUCUUAACUCUAAUGCGUAACAAGUGGUGUUAGGGCAUUCGUAGUCUUUGUUACUUGCACCAGUCGUUACACCGACGCCAACCAAAUUAAGGCCGACAUGGAGCCAUGCGCAUGAUUCCAAGAGUCACUAGAGGCGAAACUUAGUAAGAAUAACCAGUAAUGUCACGAAUGGAUGAAGCAAGCACUUUUAGAUGGUAUCGAUCAGAGCCAAUCAACCCUUUUCCCUGAUUAUCGUCACUUAAAUCCCACUAGCCGAAAUAUAAUCCGUCAAGUAAGAGAUAAGCCAGAGAUCCAGAUCAUUAGAAUACGUCACCGGCCACUAGAUCCAGGGAUGGGCCUUCUCUAGGUACAAAAAGAGUAGGUUAUUCCUAUCACUAGGAGUAGUCGCGCUAGCGGCGCAGAAGGAGAAAGUAACUAAGCGCUAAGAAGCUAUCUAGAUAGUUUCCAGCUGAGGGAAAUUGGCUUCGAUUGGUCUUAGCUUCGACUCGUAGUCUUCGACCACUCUUCUUCUUAUCCCCUAAGGUAGCUUGCUUCCAUUCAGGUAGCUAUUGCCGAGAAAUGGCCGAAAAAAGUCAAGUCUUAUUCCACUUGCUUUCUCGCUUUACUUGAAAACUGGAAAAACUAACUAGGCAGCUAUCGGAAAGAAAAUAAACAAGUAGUUUACUACGCAGGCUUUUUUUUUAUAGAGAGAGAGUAAGGGGGGUUUGCUUGCUGGCUCUCAGGGCUUAUAGUCGGUUUUUUUCUAAGGUAUUCCCUUUCAUUAGCUACGCUCAGGUUUCACCAACUUCGCGUCGGGUUCACUGAAGUGAAAUCUUGUUAAAGCAAACCAACGGUUGGUUGAACCUUAGGACGGUAGCGAAAGGAACCUUCUAGCUAACCGGGUCAAUUCAAACUCACUACAUACUAAAUUCCAUUGAGAACCCGGCGUAAUUGGUUUUCUCCAGCGGCUCUUUUUCCUAUAUUCUUUCAGAUGGCCCUGCUACGUCUGCCCACUACAGAACAGGCCUGACUCCCGUGAGCAGGUCCGCUGGCUCUUAGUAUGGCUUUUUACUUUUCUGAUCCGGCAUGAUAACAACUCGAACUCAACUUCUAUUCUUUCAAGAGCAAGAGAAAGGCACCGAGAUCCCGCGUAAGCGUCGUUUGCCCGUUGCCAAUAGGAUCGAC